Molecule: ribosomal RNA, 483 nt
Filed under: Wolbachia endosymbiont of Aedes albopictus
Lineage: Bacteria; Pseudomonadati; Pseudomonadota; Alphaproteobacteria; Rickettsiales; Anaplasmataceae
Description: bacterial SSU rRNA
Rfam family: Bacterial small subunit ribosomal RNA
Source: RNAcentral
CUAAUACCGUAUACGCCCUACGGGGGAAAAAUUUAUUGCUAUUAGAUGAGCCUAUAUUAGAUUAGCUAGUUGGUGGAGUAAUAGCCUACCAAGGCAAUGAUCUAUAGCUGAUCUGAGAGGAUGAUCAGCCACACUGGAACUGAGAUACGGUCCAGACUCCUACGGGAGGCAGCAGUGGGGAAUAUUGGACAAUGGGCGAAAGCCUGAUCCAGCCAUGCCGCAUGAGUGAAGAAGGCCUUUGGGUUGUAAAGCUCUUUUAGUGAGGAAGAUAAUGACGGUACUCACAGAAGAAGUCCUGGCUAACUCCGUGCCAGCAGCCGCGGUAAUACGGAGAGGGCUAGCGUUAUUCGGAAUUAUUGGGCGUAAAGGGCGCGUAGGCUGGUUAAUAAGUUAAAAGUGAAAUCCCRAGGCUUAACCUUGGAAUUGCUUUUAAAACUAUUAAUCUAGAGAUUGAAAGAGGAUAGAGGAAUUCCUGAUGUAGAG